GGAAUAAAAGUCGUAACAAGGUCUCCGUAGGUGAACCUGCGGAGGGAUCAUUACAGAGUUCAUGCCCUACCGGGUAGAUCUCCCACCCUAUGUUAUUAUUACUUUGUUGCUUUGGCGGGCCGUUAGGCUCCGGCCCGACUACCGGCCCCGGCUGGUAAGCGCCCGCCAGAGGACCCAAAACCCUGAAUAUUAGUGUCGUCUGAGUACUAUGUAAUAGUUAAAACUUUCAACAACGGAUCUCUUGGUUCUG
RNAcentral lists this unclassified non-coding RNA (250 nucleotides) under plant metagenome. RNAcentral's name for it is "partial contains small subunit ribosomal RNA, internal transcribed spacer 1, and 5.8S ribosomal RNA". The stretch from base 1 to 53 matches the Rfam family "Eukaryotic small subunit ribosomal RNA", at positions 1779 to 1831 of the family's 1831-position model. The record is from RNAcentral.